This 292-nucleotide ribosomal RNA is filed under the name uncultured prokaryote. RNAcentral's name for it is "partial 16S ribosomal RNA". It matches the Rfam family "Bacterial small subunit ribosomal RNA", at positions 505 to 796 of the family's 1533-position model. The record is from RNAcentral.
GAGUCAGCCGCCGCGGUAAUACGUAGGUGGCAAGCGUUAUCCGGAAUUAUUGGGCGUAAAGCGCGCGUAGGCGGUUUUUUAAGUCUGCUGUGAGAGCCCACGGCUCAACCGUGGAGGGUCAUUGGAAACUGGAAAACUUGAGUGCAGAAGAGGAAAGUGGAAUUCCAUGUGUAGCGGUGAAAUGCGCAGAGAUAUGGAGGAACACCAGUGGCGAAGGCGACUUUCUGGUCUGUAACUGACGCUGAUGUGCGAAAGCGUGGGGAUCAAACAGGAUUAGAUACCCCCGUAGUCC